ACGAACGCUGGCGGCGUGCUUAACACAUGCAAGUCGAACGGAAAGGCCCUGCUUUUGUGGGGUGCUCGAGUGGCGAACGGGUGAGUAACACGUUAGUAACCUGCCCUUGACUUUGGGAUAACUUCAGGAAACUGGGGCUAAUACCGGAUAGGAGCUCCUGCUGCAUGGUGGGGGUUGGAAAGUUUCGGCGGUUGGGGAUGGACUCGCGGCUUAUCAGCUUGUUGGUGGGGUAGUGGCUUACCAAGGCUUUGACGGGUAGCCGGCCUGAGAGGGUGACCGGCCACAUUGGGACUGAGAUACGGCCCAGACUCCUACGGGAGGCAGCAGUGGGGAAUAUUGCACAAUGGGCGGAAGCCUGAUGCAGCAACGCCGCGUGCGGGAUGACGGCCUUCGGGUUGUAAACCGCUUUCGCCUGUGACGAAGCGUGAGUGACGGUAAUGGGUAAAGAAGCACCGGCUAACUACGUG
This 467-nucleotide ribosomal RNA is filed under the name uncultured bacterium. RNAcentral's name for it is "partial 16S ribosomal RNA". It matches the Rfam family "Bacterial small subunit ribosomal RNA", at positions 29 to 507 of the family's 1533-position model. The record is from RNAcentral.